GACGAACGCUGGCGGCGUGCUUAACACAUGCAAGUCGAACGGAAAGGCCCUGCUUUUGUGGGGUGCUCGAGUGGCGAACGGGUGAGUAACACGUGAGUAACCUGCCCUUGACUUUGGGAUAACUUCAGGAAACUGGGGCUAAUACCGGAUAGGAGCUCCUGCUGCAUGGUGGGGGUUGGAAAGUUUCGGCGGUUGGGGAUGGACUCGCGGCUUAUCAGCUUGUUGGUGGGGUAGUGGCUUACCAAGGCUUUGACGGGUAGCCGGCCUGAGAGGGUGACCGGCCACAUUGGGACUGAGAUGCGGCCCAGACUCCUACGGGAGGCAGAAGUGGGGAAUAUUGCACAAUGGGCGGAAGCCUGAUGCAGCAACGCCGCGUGCGGGAUGACGGCCUUCGGGUUGUAAACCGCUUUCGCCUGUGACGAAGCGUGAGUGACGGUAAUGGGUAAAGAAGCAACGGCUAACUACGUG
RNAcentral lists this ribosomal RNA (468 nucleotides) under uncultured bacterium. Its description in RNAcentral is "partial 16S ribosomal RNA". It matches the Rfam family "Bacterial small subunit ribosomal RNA", at positions 28 to 507 of the family's 1533-position model. The record is from RNAcentral.